UUGAAAAUUUGGGUCGUCAAAUGCAUACAGCCUUACGCUUUUGUGAAGUUCUUCUAAUACACGUAUUAGUGUGCAUUUAGAAUAAAAUGCAUGGUGAGGGUACUUUAUAUUUUCUAGCAACUGAUAUACUCGCUCCUUGGAUUAUAGGUAUCAUUUCUUUUAUUUUUGUGCUAAUUGGAGCUUUUCUAUGUUAUGCUAUUGGAGCAGCAGUUAGAAUGCAUUCUAGACUAACAGAAAUUGUGAACUACGUACAUGAAGUACAAGAAGAACAAGAAUACAAUAAACUUGUAGACCUUGAAUGAGUGAUAUUUGUAGGAAAGAAAUUUAAUAACUGCUAUAGGUGAACUUUUGGAAUUUGAUUUUAAAUUUUACAAACAAAGUGCAAAUAUUUUGCUUUUAAGGUGAUGUUUAAUGAGAUGUCAAAGCCUCAUCUGAUGAAUAUUCUCCUAAAAUACUUUAUUGCAUUCCUUUUAUACUUCAAUAAAAGAGGAAACAAUCGGUUUUUAAUCUAAAUAUUUGCAAUUGAUUUCAAAAUUAUAGUGAAAAAAAAAAAAAAAAAAAAAAAAAAAUUAAAUUUGUCGCGAAAGUAACCUUUUAGUUUAGUUAUGCAUGCAAGUAUUUAAUAUACAAUAUAUAGUCUAUUCAGUUAUUCUUUUAUGUAUAUUUCAAUGGUAUGUGAAAUGAGCGUUCAGGAAAUUAUUCAUAGAAAUGUCAGCUAUCAACUAAAUGCAAAUAAGGUUCGUUCAUUAUUGCAGUUCUACACCCUUGAAUUGAAUUCUCCGUGUCAACAUAAUGACGCAAGAAUUUUGAAGGCAGGAAGCGUUUUUCUAUUUAAUUCCUCUGAUUUAAGUUAAAAUACCUUUCAUGUAUGUGAAAUGGACAUGCAGCUGUGUAAAAUACUAUUUCCUUAUAUAAUAGUAUAUAUUAACUUCAGAAAACAACUCAACUUAUAAGUGACUGAAGGAUUACAAUAUGAAUAAAGUAAUGCUUUUGCUGCUACUGGGUGUCCUGCUCUCUUCUGUUCAAGCACUUGAAAAUGAUGAACAUAGUUUGGCUUCGGUACCCAGCAUCGUUCAUGAUAUUUUGAUGUGCUAUGGACGUCGUAAUGGAGGUCGUCGUAAUGGCGGACGAACUACUACUACAGCUGAGCCUGAAGAAGAUCCGUAAAUGGGAUCCGAUGGGAUGUCUUAUCAACUUCUUAAUAUGCUUAUAUUUUCAUAAUACGUUCCUUUUUCAUACACUUUACUGCAGGAAAGCUUCAUGUGAAACCUAAAUAACAAGCAAUAAAGUAAAUGUUAUAGCAACUUCA
Molecule: unclassified non-coding RNA, 1309 nt
Filed under: Stegodyphus dumicola
Lineage: Eukaryota; Metazoa; Arthropoda; Arachnida; Araneae; Eresidae
Description: glycine, alanine and asparagine-rich protein-like, transcript variant X3
Source: RNAcentral